Triticum aestivum (bread wheat) is the source of this 162-nucleotide non-coding RNA. The record is from Rfam. Lineage: Eukaryota; Viridiplantae; Streptophyta; Magnoliopsida; Poales; Poaceae.
UUACUUACCUGGACGGGGUCGACGGGCGAUCAACAAGGCCCGUGGCCUGGGUCGAUGGCACACAUUGCACUUGGUGGGUGCGUCGGCCCAUCAUCUCCCCUAAGUGGGAGAGUGAACGUCAUAAUUUAUGGUAGAGGGGGUACGCGUUCGCGCGGCCCCCGC